Molecule: ribosomal RNA, 500 nt
Filed under: uncultured bacterium
Lineage: Bacteria
Description: partial 16S ribosomal RNA
Rfam family: Bacterial small subunit ribosomal RNA
Source: RNAcentral
AUUGAACGCUGGCGGCAUGCCUUACACAUGCAAGUCGAACGGCAGCGCGGGAGCAAUCCUGGCGGCGAGUGGCGAACGGGCGAGUAAUAUAUCGGAACGUGCCCAGUAGUGGGGGAUAGCCCGGCGAAAGCCGGAUUAAUACCGCAUACGACCUGAGGGUGAAAGGGGGGGAUCGCAAGACCUCUCGCUAUUGGAGCGGCCGAUAUCAGAUUAGGUAGUUGGUGGGGUAAAGGCCUACCAAGCCUGCGAUCUGUAGUCGGUCUGAGAGGACGACCAGCCACACUGGGACUGAGACACGGCCCAGACUCCUACGGGAGGCAGCAGUGGGGAAGUUUGGACAAUGGGCGCAAGCCUGAUCCAGCAAUGCCGCGUGCAGGAAGAAGGCCUUCGGGUUGUAAACUGCUUUUGUCAGGGAAGAAAUCCUCUAGGCUAAUACCUUGGGGGGAUGACGGUACCUGAAGAAUAAGCACCGGCUAACUACGUGCCAGCCGCCGCGGUAA